AAAUUGUGAUUCUGCUCUCCCCCCCUCCUUCAGCAAAUGGUUGCGCCUGUCCCGUAGCUCUCCUUUGCCCGCAUUCCAGAGCACGGCGAGAGGCGGGGACCCCCGUGUAAGUCCAUUUAGGGAAAUCGAGAAGUGCCGUGGGUCUCACGUGACUGGCCGUGGCUCCUCCCCCAGAGCCCGGCGCCUCCGCUCGGUUGGAGUGCGCCUGCGCAGGAAACUCGGGCGACUCAACGUCUAGGUCAGCGCCUCAGGGUCUGGGCAGAGCGAGUGGGUAACCAUGGAUAUACCAAGUCAAUGUGGAAAAAGGAGUCUUAAUAUUCUAAUGUUCUGAUAUGAAAUUCUAAUGAUUAGACCCACUACUGAAAGCCUCUGACACUGACGUACCUGUUCUUUUGUAACCUACAGGAAAUCUUCAUGAAACAGCAAAACGCCAGGUCAUGUCUUCACCAUGAGGCCGCAGCAGGCGCCGGUGUCUGGGAAGGUGUUCGUUCAGCGAGACUUCAGCAGUGGCACACGCUGUCAGUUCCAGACCAAGUUCCCGGUGGAGCUGGAGAACAGGAUUGAUAGACAGCAGUUUGAAGAAACAGUUAAAACUCUAAAUAAUCUUUUUGAAGAAGCAGAGACGCUUGAGGGCCAGUCAUAUCUUGAAGGCUGUUUGGCUUGUUUAACAGCAUAUACCAUCUUCUUAUGCAUGGAAACUCAUUAUGAAAAGGUCUUGAAGAAAGUUUCCAAAUACAUUCAAGAACAGAAUGAGAAGAUAUAUGCUCCCCACGGCCUCCUCCUAACAGACCCCAUUGAGAGAGGACUUCGAGUUAUUGAAAUCACCAUCUAUGAAGACAGAGGUGUGAGCAGUGGAAGAUAAACCACAGAAUACAAAUCCCACCUCCAGCUGGGACCUUCAUCUGCCCACUGGCUGACUGCAGAGCAUCUCUACCUCCUUUUCAGAUCGUUAUUCUCUUGUUUCUGCUACCAGAGCCACAGUGCCACACCUGGAGUGACCGCUCAUCACUCAGCAUCCACUCUGUGUCUCCCAGUUGUGUAGGACUCUGUGAUCUUUUGACUUGUUUCCAAGAAAAUACAAGGAAGCAAUUCUAUUUUUUAAAUUUAAAGCCAUUUAAAAAGCAGGCAGUUGGUCAGCCCAAGACAGUCGUUUUCUUACCUGACACCAGGCUCAUUGGUUCUCCUCAUCCCUUGGGUCAGUUUCCUAGGUGGCUUUAUGAUUCCACAAGUCAUGACUUAGCUCAGUUCUUCCCCCAGAUUAGUAACAGGCUUUGAGGGUGUGUAUGCCUGUGGUCCAGCUGAUCCGUGGCCCAGAUUCCCCAAGCUACCAGCCUUGACGUGCUUCAGAUCUUAAGACUGAUUUCUGCUGUUCAAUUUCAGAGGCUCCUUGAGAGAAUAAUAUAUGUUACUUGUUUUAGUAUUGCAGUUAUUAUUAAAGCAGUAUUUAAUGCAA
This is an RNA transcript of Mastomys coucha (southern multimammate mouse), 1453 nucleotides long. It is a transcript of the gene named golgin subfamily A member 7 pseudogene, with no coding region annotated. The record is from RefSeq and is a predicted model, not a curated record. The transcript has 3 exons. Lineage: Eukaryota; Metazoa; Chordata; Mammalia; Rodentia; Muridae.